UACGUAGGUGGCAAGCGUUGUCCGGAAUUAUUGGGCGUAAAGCGCGCGCAGGCGGUCCUUUAAGUCUGAUGUGAAAGCCCACGGCUCAACCGUGGAGGGUCAUUGGAAACUGGGGGACUUGAGUACAGAAGAGAAGAGUGGAAUUCCACGUGUAGCGGUGAAAUGCGUAGAGGUGUGGAGGAACACCAGUGGCGAAGGCGACUCUUUGGUCUGUAACUGACGCUGAGGCGCGAAAGCGUGGGGAGCAAACAGG
RNAcentral lists this ribosomal RNA (253 nucleotides) under uncultured bacterium. RNAcentral's name for it is "partial 16S ribosomal RNA". It matches the Rfam family "Bacterial small subunit ribosomal RNA", at positions 524 to 776 of the family's 1533-position model. The record is from RNAcentral.